Molecule: ribosomal RNA, 578 nt
Filed under: uncultured bacterium
Lineage: Bacteria
Description: partial 16S ribosomal RNA
Rfam family: Bacterial small subunit ribosomal RNA
Source: RNAcentral
UGGGGAAUUUUGGACAAUGGGGGAAACCCUGAUCCAGCCAUCCCGCGUGUGCGAUGAAGGCCUUCGGGUUGUAAAGCACUUUUGGCAGGAAAGAAACGUCGCGGGUUAAUACCCCGCGAAACUGACGGUACCUGCAGAAUAAGCACCGGCUAACUACGUGCCAGCAGCCGCGGUAAUACGUAGGGUGCAAGCGUUAAUCGGAAUUACUGGGCGUAAAGCGUGCGCAGGCGGUUCGGAAAGAAAGAUGUGAAAUCCCAGAGCUUAACUUUGGAACUGCAUUUUUAACUACCGGGCUAGAGUGUGUCAGAGGGAGGUGGAAUUCCGCGUGUAGCAGUGAAAUGCGUAGAUAUGCGGAGGAACACCGAUGGCGAAGGCAGCCUCCUGGGAUAACACUGACGCUCAUGCACGAAAGCGUGGGGAGCAAACAGGAUUAGAUACCCUGGUAGUCCACGCCCUAAACGAUGUCAACUAGCUGUUGGGGCCUUCGGCCUUGGUAGCGCAGCUAACGCGUGAAGUUGACCGCCUGGGGAGUACGGUCGCAAGAUUAAAACUCAAAGGAAUUGACGGGGUCAUAGCUG